GCCAUAAACGCGAAUAUCAAGUUCACGUGUUUGUAAUGCAACUAUAAAUACUCUAUCCGCCCAAUAAAUCUUUAUCUUAACUUGAUUUUUAUUCAAAUUCCGAACAGAUAAAGCAGAGAAUCUCAAAGCAGAGAAUUAGAAAAAAAUUAAUAAGAAAUAUUGUAAUUGGCCUUUAACGAGAAGUAUAACCUUGGAUACUUGGCAAGCAAUUGUGAUACUUGAGCGAGUAGCGUACUGUGCAUGAAAAUGAGCGAACGCAUCAUCAAUUUUACGUCACAUAAUCUCAAUGAAAGAUUGCUACACUGCAGUAUAUAUCUCAUGUUUUCGAGCAAACUCCAAUUCUCCUAGCUACCUGUGACUUCUUACUUUUCAACGAGGCGAAAAAAGAAGCGUGGCUGUUAUCUAAAAACGUAAUACCUUUAUUUGCACCAUUUACGUCGGAGAUUAAGACAGAAGGAGACGCGAAACGUAAAAUUCACGAGGCACGUCGGUACUAUUGCCUUUGGAUUUUAUCAACAUGAUCAUAAUAACCGUGUCACGUUACAACAACAACGAAGUUUCAGACUGUUUUAUAUAAAACGUACGUUAUAUGUAUAAAGGUUGUACAUGGAGACUGUCCGCAGGCUUGUUCUUGAACCUCGAAUGACAACAGUUUUCAAUUGAAUGAUCGCGAUGAUACUUUAUUACGCGCGUACAACGAUGACUUUAUUGCAGCGUUCAAUAUAGCGAACCCCAUGUUCAACCUAUAUUUUCUCUGUUCACUCGUCUAUUAAGCGGGAUAACUAGUUUUGCCGAUUAUAAUUUAACUCGUAAUGGGGGAACGUUCGAAGAGGAGGAGCAUAACAAAGUCAUUUAAUCCGGCUGAUUAUGUAUCAACGAUGUGUGAAAGGAGAAAAGUGUCGUUUUUAUCGUUGUCCGCGAGUAUUCGCUGCGACUUUUUAUGCGAAACUUGCGCGUUCCAACGAACAUGACGCGUACAGAAGAAUAUAAAUAUUUCGAAGCAUGGAAGAAGCAAAAGUAUCGAAAGAAAUUUGACAAAAUCCAUAAUAUACGAGACAAAUGAGAAACAACUAACGACGUAGUUAUAACCGUACAGAAGCAGAAACAGAAACGAACGUCUCGUUCCACUGCACGGAGUGGAUCGUGCGUUGGGCACCUGAAAGGUCAGCCACGAGUUACACAAAAGAUGGGCAAACGAGAAAGCACUUUCUUUACCACAUGCGAUCCACGUAGGCCGUGCAGCAUGCUGGACAUGAAAUGUUGGUUGUACGUACCGACUUCGGCAUGUUGUACGGAGAAUUCCAACAUAGUAAGCUGAAAUCGGCAGAAUUGACCUGGGCUAUCGUUUGUCGGCGUAAGGGUAGGGUAAGACCGCACGGCAAGGACACAUA
Molecule: long non-coding RNA, 1391 nt
Organism: Bombus terrestris (buff-tailed bumblebee)
Lineage: Eukaryota; Metazoa; Arthropoda; Insecta; Hymenoptera; Apidae
Exons: 3
Source: RefSeq, a predicted model, not a curated record